Molecule: ribosomal RNA, 495 nt
Filed under: uncultured bacterium
Lineage: Bacteria
Description: partial 16S ribosomal RNA
Rfam family: Bacterial small subunit ribosomal RNA
Source: RNAcentral
GACGAACGCUGGCGGCGUGCCUAAUACAUGCAAGUAGAACGCUGAAGGAGGAGCUUGCUUCUCUGGAUGAGUUGCGAACGGGUGAGUAACGCGUAGGUAACCUGCCUGGUAGCGGGGGAUAACUAUUGGAAACGAUAGCUAAUACCGCAUAAUAGCAGUUAUUGCAUGAUAACUGUUUGAAAGGUGCAAUUGCACCACUACCAGAUGGACCUGCGUUGUAUUAGCUAGUUGGUGGGGUAACGGCUCACCAAGGCGACGAUACAUAGCCGACCUGAGAGGGUGAUCGGCCACACUGGGACUGAGACACGGCCCAGACUCCUACGGGAGGCAGCAGUAGGGAAUCUUCGGCAAUGGACGGAAGUCUGACCGAGCAACGCCGCGUGAGUGAAGAAGGUGUUCGGAUCGUAAAGCUCUGUUGUAAGAGAAGAACGAGUGUGAGAGUGGAAAGUUCACACUGUGACGGUAUCUUACCAGAAAGGGACGGCUAACUACGUG